This 1032-nucleotide ribosomal RNA is filed under the name uncultured Paludibacter sp. RNAcentral's name for it is "bacterial SSU rRNA". It matches the Rfam family "Bacterial small subunit ribosomal RNA", at positions 357 to 1392 of the family's 1533-position model. Lineage: Bacteria; Pseudomonadati; Bacteroidota; Bacteroidia; Bacteroidales; Paludibacteraceae. The record is from RNAcentral.
AGGAAUAUUGGUCGAUGGGCGGGAGCCUGAACCAGCCAUCCCGCGUGCAGGAAGAAUGCCCUAUGAGUUGUAAACUGCUUUUUCGCAUGAAGAACACCCCUGACGUGUCAGGGGCUGACGGUAAUGCGUGAAUAAGCACCGGCUAACUCCGUGCCAGCAGCCGCGGUAAUACGGAGGGCGCAAGCGUUAUCCGGAUUUAUUGGGUUUAAAGGGUGCGUAGGCGGACCAAUUAGUCAGUGGUGAAAGUUUGCAGCUCAACUGUAAAAUUGCCAUUGAAACUGUUGGUCUUGAGUGUAAAUGAGGUAGGCGGAAUGUGUUGUGUAGCGGUGAAAUGCUUAGAUAUAACACAGAACACCAAUUGCGAAGGCAGCUUACUGGGAUACAACUGACGCUGAGGCACGAAAGCGUGGGGAUCAAACAGGAUUAGAUACCCUGGUAGUCCACGCAGUAAACGAUGAAUACUAGCUGUAUGCGAUAUACUGUAUGUGGCAAAGCGAAAGCGUUAAGUAUUCCACCUGGGGAGUACGUUCGCAAGAUUGAAACUCAAAGGAAUUGACGGGGGCCCGCACAAGCGGAGGAGCAUGUGGUUUAAUUCGAUGAUACGCGAGGAACCUUACCUGGGCUCGAACGUGGAAUGACAGUCGCGGAAACGUGAUCUUCUUCGGACAUUCUACGAGGUGCUGCAUGGUUGUCGUCAGCUCGUGCCGUGAGGUGUCGGGUUAAGUCCCAUAACGAGCGCAACCCCUAUCUUUAGUUGCCAUCAGGUCAAGCUGGGGACUCUAAAGAAACUGCCUACGCAAGUAGUGAGGAAGGCGGGGAUGACGUCAAAUCAGCACGGCCCUUACGUCCAGGGCUACACACGUGCUACAAUGGCCGGUACAGAGGGCAGCUACUGGGUGACCAGAUGCAAAUCUCCAAAGCCGGUCUCAGUUCGGAUCGAAGUCUGAAACUCGACUUCGUGAAGUUGGAUUCGCUAGUAAUCGCGCAUCAGCCAUGGCGCGGUGAAUACUUUCCCGGGCCUUGUACACACCG